Molecule: long non-coding RNA, 487 nt
Filed under: Terrapene triunguis (Three-toed box turtle)
Lineage: Eukaryota; Metazoa; Chordata; Testudines; Emydidae
Description: Terrapene carolina triunguis (Three-toed box turtle) lncRNA (ENSTMTG00000010723.1)
Source: RNAcentral
GGACACUCCAAGCCCAGUGACCAUGCGGCCUGCAGUGUCCAUCGCUCUGAUCCUCGUGGCUCUGACGGUCCUGGCAGACUCUGCUCAGGCUCAAUCCACAGAGCCAACCCUGACCAAAAAGUUGGAGAACUUCCAGAACAAGUUGCAGGCCUUUGCUGACAGCAUUGCAGAUAAAACCAAAGCCGCCUUCCAAGAACUGCAUCACAGCGAGUUCAGCGAAAAGACCCGGAACUGGUUCUCUGAGCAAUUCCAGAAGAUGAAGGAGAAGUUCAAUGAGCAGUUUUCCAGGGACUGAUCUGACUGAGAGGGGAUUUUUUUCUGCAGAGCUCACAGGCAAUUCCUGGGGUACUGCUCCCCUUGAAGAGAUCAUGCUGGGAGGGGAACCCAGGGUUGGCACCCAAGUUCCUGUUUUCUAUUGCUUUUGUUGUAGCCAUGAAUAAAUACUGAUUGCCUUAGUGCUGGGUUGUAUCCAGGGGUUGCUUGGUCG